AUUAGUUAUAAUUAAUAAUACUUAAAUCAAUUCAAUUAAAUAUACUUUUAAAUAUUUUUAGUUUUACAUAUAAAUAGGUAUAUAGUAUAGGUAGCUGUUAUAAACUAUAGCAAGCUAUUAGUAAUAUAACGUUGAUCAGUAAAUUACAUAUUAUAAAAUAAAAUAGUUUUUGUCAGUUUUUGUCUUUUGCUUGCCGUUUUUACAAUUGACGAUGUCAGUAUUUUACUGUAGGCAUGUAGUCGUAUCUUGAGUAUGUAUGAUCAUGGGCACUUGGAGUAUCUAGAAUAGCUCGAAUACAAGAUUCACACUUCAAAUUCUGUAAGAGUGUUUUUACUACAUAUCCACUGAUGUAAUACAAAACAUUUUCAGUGAUCAAACUAAGAAAUUUCCAUUUAAUCGCAAAAAGUGAAUCUUCAACUGGUGACAACAAUGCACAAUUUCCAGAGCUCAUUUUUAUAGAAUUAUGCAAUAAGAUACUUUUUAGAGCAUUUUUAAACUCCAAACAAUUUGGGUUAUUAUUAUGCCCAAAUUUGCCCCGCAUAAAACUGAAGAAUAUUUCUAUGGCGUCUUGACUGAAUUUGUAAGUAUUGAAUAUUGUGAAUAUAAAUUGGUUGUUUCAAUCCUUUUGCAAAUGGAUUUCUAGAGUUCAAAAAAUCAAAUAUUUCAUCAAUAAUACGAAUAAAUUUAAUUGUUGCUUCACACUUCUCAAAUUCUAUUGAAGUUUGAGUGAGAUAUGCAAGAGCGUCUGCAACGGAACUGCUUAAUAAUUGUACAGCAAGUUUGACCUUCAUUGAAUUUCCUUUCCAAUUUAUAUGAGCUGAACUUAUUUUGUUUCCUAAUUUAAAUCCUAUUUCAUUUUGUAAUUUAAAUAGUUUAUCAAUAUAUCUCCACUCUAUUAAAUUACUAUUUUCAUCUUUAAAAGCUCCAAAAGUCCCUAAUGCAUUUCUGGCUAACUUAACAUUGUGGCACGCAUCAGGUGUAAAAUAUAUGUUUGGUGUGAAGAGGUCAAUUUUGAAAUCAGAUUUAAUUAAAUCAUACGAUUGGUUUAAGUCACAACCUAAUAUUUUGAAUGUACUAAGAUUAGCAUAUGCAUAUUUGUUUCAAUAUUUGAAAUCCAAUUUCUAAUAGCACUAGGGCUUGGUAGGCUAAUUGAAGACCUUUAAAUUAAAUUAUGACUGAGCAUUUUGUACUUAAAUAACAAUUUUACUAAUACAAUUUAUAGAUUUAGUAUAAUUAUACCUGAUAUAACUGUAAGCUUUAGGGGAAUAAAAAUAAAUUGUCGUGGCAAACUUUUUUACUUCAUCAGUAUAUCGUCUUGCUGUAGGUUCUACAUUAGUAUUUUGUAUUAAAUCAUUUAAAAAUGUUUGUGUAAAAUUUUUUGCAAUUGUGUCAGUGGUUUCUGUGUCAGUUGAUGAUUUGAUUGUAGACAUCAACUCCUAAUAAUUUUUAAUAUUAUAUAAAAAUAUUUGCUUGCAGUUUUACCAUUUUCAAUCACUGAACAAAUAUUGACAAAUCCAUAUCCAAUACAUAAACCAGAAUAGAUAUCAUUAGGUACUUACAAAAAAUGUACACUAAUAAUUCACUAACUUUGCAUAGCCAAAGUGACAUACUGACAUUGGAAAUAUAUUUAUGUUAUAAAUAAUAAUGCACACACAAAAUAUAUC
Molecule: long non-coding RNA, 1664 nt
Organism: Aphis gossypii (cotton aphid)
Lineage: Eukaryota; Metazoa; Arthropoda; Insecta; Hemiptera; Aphididae
Exons: 4
Source: RefSeq, a predicted model, not a curated record